UAAUCCUAACCCUAAUUGUAGACUUAUCCCUUAUCCAAAGCCUAAUAUAAACCUUAGCCCAAAUACUAACCCAAUCGAUUAAUCUCUCUCUCUCACCCAACCCUAACACAAACCCAAUUAAUCCUGUUCGAGUCAGUUGACCUAACCGUGAACCUAACCUAAUCUAGAAACCAACCCUAACCCUAACCUCCUCAUAUUGAAUUCAAAACAUAACCUAAUCAAUUGACAUCCUGACCCUAGCCCUAAGCCAACCCUAACCUGACCCAAUCACCAAUCUUGGCCCCACCCUCCCAACAUCAAACCCUAACACCAAUCGGAUUAAACCCCUUUCACUAUUCGGCUA
RNAcentral lists this long non-coding RNA (343 nucleotides) under Elaeis guineensis (African oil palm). Its description in RNAcentral is "long non-coding RNA (EGUI_LNC022663)". The record is from RNAcentral. Lineage: Eukaryota; Viridiplantae; Streptophyta; Magnoliopsida; Arecales; Arecaceae.